RNAcentral lists this ribosomal RNA (808 nucleotides) under uncultured bacterium. RNAcentral's name for it is "bacterial SSU rRNA". It matches the Rfam family "Bacterial small subunit ribosomal RNA", at positions 8 to 762 of the family's 1533-position model. The record is from RNAcentral.
AGAGUUUGAUCCUGGCUCAGGACGAACGCUGGCGGCGUGCUUAACACAUGCAAGUCGAGCGAUUCAAGGAGUAGGAGAACAGAGGCAAGAAGCAGGAGGGUCGUGUAUGGCCCUGUUUGUUUUUCUUGUUUCCUGUUUCUGUUCUCUUGCUUCUUGGAGAGCGGCGCACGGGUGAGUAACGCGUGGGUGACCUGCCCGGGAGACUGGGAUAACAGCUCGAAAGGGCUGCUAAUACCGGAUGAUAUCGCUUUAUUAUCAUGAAGUGAUCAAAGCGUUUAGUGCUCUCGGAUGGGCCCGCGUCCCAUUAGUUAGUUGGUGGGGUAAUGGCCUACCAAGGCGGCGAUGGGUAGCCGGUCUGAGAGGAUGGUCGGCCACACUGGGACUGAGACACGGCCCAGACUCCUACGGGAGGCAGCAGUGGGGAAUUUUGCGCAAUGGGGGAAACCCUGACGCAGCGACGCCGCGUGAGUGAUGAAGGCCUUCGGGUUGUAAAGCUCUGUUGGGGGGGAAGAUAGUGACGGUACCCCCUGAGGAAGCCCCGGCUAACUACGUGCCAGCAGCCGCGGUAAGACGUAGGGGGCGAGCGUUGUCCGGAAUUACUGGGCGUAAAGGGCGUGUAGGCGGCUUUUCAAGUCGGCUGUGAAAGUCCUCGGCUUAACCGGGGGAGUGCAGUCGAAACUGGGGAGCUUGAGUGCAGGAAAGGGUGGUGGAAUUCCCGGUGGAGCGGUGACAUGCGUAGAUAUCGGGAGGAACACCGGUGGCGAAGGCGACCACCUGGUCUGUUACUGACGCUGAGGCGCGAAAGCCG